Molecule: unclassified non-coding RNA, 566 nt
Filed under: Hevea brasiliensis (rubber tree)
Lineage: Eukaryota; Viridiplantae; Streptophyta; Magnoliopsida; Malpighiales; Euphorbiaceae
Source: RNAcentral
GAGCCCUUUAGAGGUUUUACAAGGGCAUAAUUCUUAUAUUGUCCCCCUAAAAAUUUCUAGAUGUAUCUGUUUUGUGCACAAAACAAAUGUUGGAAAGUUAGAACCUAGAAUUCUUAAAUGUGUAUUUAUAGGUUAUUCUGGUACUAAACAGAGCUAUAAAUGUUAUCAUCCUCCUAUCAGGAAAUAUUUUGUUAGUAUGGAUGUUACCUUUAAAGAAUCUAAGCCUUAUUUUCCUAACAAGUCACCUCUUCAAGGGGAGCAUAAGGAGGAAAAGGAAAAUGUGUUUUUUCUUAAUCAGACUAUUAAGCUUAGGUCACACCUUGGUAAUGAGCCAUUUAACUAGGACCAAUCACCUCAGGGGGAGACUAUUAAGCUUAGGUCACACUUUAGCAAUAAGCCAUCUAAUCAGGACCAACCAUCUCCUCAAACCUCAGAGAAAUUGAAUAGUUUAGAUUUAAGAACUUACAUGCAUCGAAAUAAGACAGAUACAAUCAUUAAACUUGAUACACCUAAUCAACUAGCACCUCUGGAAUCGAUUCUUGAAGAAUGUGAUGAGUCUCCUUUAC